RNAcentral lists this ribosomal RNA (446 nucleotides) under uncultured bacterium. Its description in RNAcentral is "partial 16S ribosomal RNA". It matches the Rfam family "Bacterial small subunit ribosomal RNA", at positions 338 to 795 of the family's 1533-position model. The record is from RNAcentral.
CCUACGGGAGGCAGCAGUCGAGAAUCUUUCACAAUGGGGGAAACCCUGAUGGUGCGACGCCGCGUGGGGGAAUGAAGGUCUUCGUAUUGUAAACCCCUGUCAUGUGGGAGCAAAUUAAAAAGCUCGUACCCCCAGAGGAAGAGCUGGGUAACGAUGUUCAAGUAGCCGCGGUAAUACAGAGGGCUUAAGCGUUGUUCGGCAUCACUGGGCUUAAAGCGUGCGGUGGCUGUUUCGUAAGUCGUGUGUUAAAGGGGCGGGCUCAACCCGCGGACGGCACAUGAUACUGCGAGACUAGAGUAAUGGAGGAGUAACCGGAAUGCGCGGUGUAGCAGUGAAAUGCAUAGAUAUCGAGAAGAACACUCGUUGCGAAGGCAGGAUCCUGGACAUUAACUGACGCUGAGGCACGAAGGCGAGGGGAGCGAAAGGGAUUAGAUACCCGUGUAGUC